GCCGACGUAGCUCAAUUGGUAGAGCAGCUGAAUCGUAAUCAGCAGGUUGCGGGUUCGAGUCCCAUUGUCGGCUCCA
RNAcentral lists this transfer RNA (76 nucleotides) under Bacillota bacterium. Its description in RNAcentral is "tRNA-Thr". It matches the Rfam family "tRNA". Rfam says of the family: Transfer RNA (tRNA) molecules are approximately 80 nucleotides in length. Their secondary structure includes four short double-helical elements and three loops (D, anti-codon, and T loops). Lineage: Bacteria; Bacillati; Bacillota. RNAcentral also lists the same sequence under 1 other name. The record is from RNAcentral.